RNAcentral lists this ribosomal RNA (408 nucleotides) under uncultured bacterium. RNAcentral's name for it is "partial 16S ribosomal RNA". It matches the Rfam family "Bacterial small subunit ribosomal RNA", at positions 28 to 526 of the family's 1533-position model. The record is from RNAcentral.
GACGAACGCUGGCGGCGUGCUUAACACAUGCAAGUCGAACGAAGUGGCGAACGGGUGAGUAACGCGUAAUCAACCUGCCCUUCAGUGGGGUACAACAGUUGGAAACGAAUGCUAAUACAGCAUAGUGAAGGAGGGGUUUGCGUCUGAUUAGCUAGUUGGAGGGGUAACGGCCCACCAAGGCGAUGAUCAGUCGCCGGGCUGAGGGGAUGGACGGCCACAUUGGGAAUGAGACACGGCCCAGACUCCUACGGGAGGGAGCAGUGGGGAAUCUGCCGCAAUGGACGAAAGUCUGACGGAGCAACGCCGCGUGAGUGAUGACGGCCUUCGGGUUGUAAAGCUCUGUUAAUCGGGACGCGGUACCGGAAUAGAAAGCCACGGCUAACUACGUGCCAGCCGCCGCGGUAAUUC